RNAcentral lists this ribosomal RNA (452 nucleotides) under uncultured Spirochaeta sp. RNAcentral's name for it is "bacterial SSU rRNA". It matches the Rfam family "Bacterial small subunit ribosomal RNA", at positions 929 to 1382 of the family's 1533-position model. The record is from RNAcentral. Lineage: Bacteria; Pseudomonadati; Spirochaetota; Spirochaetia; Spirochaetales; Spirochaetaceae.
GCGGUGGAGCAUGUGGUUUAAUUCGAUGGUACGCGAGAAACCUUACCAGGGCUUGACAUACGCUGGAAGCGGUCCGAAAGGAUCGUGCCGCUUGCGGCCGGCGUACAGGUGCUGCAUGGCUGUCGUCAGCUCGUGCUGUGAAGUGUUGGGUUAAGUCCCGCAACGAGCGUAACCCCUGCUGUCUGUUGCCACCACGAGAGGUGGGGACUCAGGCGGAACUGCCGGUGACAAACCGGAGGAAGGUGGGGACGACGUCAAGUCAUCAUGGCCCUUAUGUCCUGGGCUACACACGUGCUACAAUGGCCGGUACAGAGCGCAGCGAGGCCGCGAGGCGGAGCGAAUCGCUUAAAGCCGGUCCCAGUACGGAUUGGAGUCUGCAACCCGACUCCAUGAAGUUGGAAUCGCUAGUAAUCGCGCAUCAGCAUGGCGCGGUGAAUACGUUCCCGGGCCUU